Molecule: ribosomal RNA, 253 nt
Filed under: uncultured bacterium
Lineage: Bacteria
Description: partial 16S ribosomal RNA
Rfam family: Bacterial small subunit ribosomal RNA
Source: RNAcentral
UACGUAGGGUGCGGGCGUUAAUCGGAAUUACUGGGCGUAAAGCGUGCGCAGGCGGCUCCUUAAGUCAGAUGUGAAAGCCCCGGGCUUAACCUGGGAACUGCGUUUGAAACUGGGGAGCUAGAGUGUGGAAGAGGGGGGUGGAAUUCCAGGUGUAGCAGUGAAAUGCGUAGAGAUCUGGAGGAACGCCGAUGGCGAAGGCAGCCCCCUGGGCUAACACUGACGCUCAUGCACGAAAGCGUGGGGAGCAAACAGG